GAUGAAGAACGUAGUGAAAUGCGAUAAGUAAUGUGAAUUGCAGAAUUCAGUGAAUCAUCGAAUCUUUGAACGCACAUUGCGCCCGCCAGUAUUCUGGCGGGCAUGCCUGUUCGAGCGUCAUUUCAACCCUCAAGCACAGCUUGGUGUUGGGACUCGCGUUAAUUCGCGUUCCUCAAAUUGAUUGGCGGUCACGUCGAGCUUCCAUAGCGUAGUAGUAAAACCCUCGUUACUGGUAAUCGUCGCGGCCACGCCGUUAAACCCCAACUUCUGAAUGUUGACCUCGGAUCAGGUAGGAAUACCCGCUGAACUUAAGCAUAUCAAUAAGCGGAGGA
Molecule: unclassified non-coding RNA, 332 nt
Filed under: soil metagenome
Description: partial contains 5.8S ribosomal RNA, internal transcribed spacer 2, and large subunit ribosomal RNA
Rfam family: 5.8S ribosomal RNA (bases 1-120)
Source: RNAcentral